GGAUUAGGCAUGCAAGUCGAACGAGCACUUUCGGGUGCUAGUGGCGGACGGGUGAGUAAUGCAUAGACAACCUGCCCUUGAGAUGGGAAUAACUCUCUGAAAGGAGGGCUAAUACCCAAUAACGUUCGGGUUCGUAUGGGCCCGAACCAAAGAUAGCCUCUGUUUUCAUGCUUUCACUCAAGGAGGGGUUUAUGUCCUAUUAGCUUGUUGGUGAGGUAACGGCUCACCAAGGCAACGAUGGGUAGCCGACCUGAGAGGGUGACCGGCCACACUGGGACUGAGACACUGCCCAGACUCCUACGGGAGGCUGCAGUCGAGAAUCUUCCGCAAUGCGCGCAAGCGUGACGGAGCGACGCCGCGUGGGUGAUGAAGGCCUUCGGGUUGUAAAGCCCUGUCAACUACUAUGAACCACGGGCGGUGAAUAGCCGUCCCGUCUGACGUAAGUAGAGAAGGAAGCACCGGCUAAAUACGUGCCAGCAGCCGCGGUAAUACGUAUGGUGCGAACGUUGUUCGGAUUCACUGGGCAUAAAGAGCGCGUAGGCGGUGCGGUAAGUCCGAUGUGAAAUCCCCCGGCUCAACCGGGGAACUGCAUCGGAAACUGCCGGACUGGAGUGCAGGAGGGGAGAGUGGAAUUCCUGGUGGAGCGGUGAAAUGCGUAGAUAUCAGGAGGAACGCCGGUGGCGAAAGCGACUCUCUGGUCUGCAACUGACGCUGAGGCGCGAAAGCUAGGGGAGCAAACGGGAUUAGAUACCCCGGUAGUCCUAGCCCUAAACGAUGGGCACUAAGUAGAGGGGUUUU
Molecule: ribosomal RNA, 798 nt
Filed under: uncultured bacterium
Lineage: Bacteria
Description: bacterial SSU rRNA
Rfam family: Bacterial small subunit ribosomal RNA
Source: RNAcentral